RNAcentral lists this ribosomal RNA (496 nucleotides) under uncultured bacterium. RNAcentral describes it as "partial 16S ribosomal RNA". It matches the Rfam family "Bacterial small subunit ribosomal RNA", at positions 29 to 507 of the family's 1533-position model. The record is from RNAcentral.
AUGAACGCUGGCGGCGUGCCUAAUACAUGCAAGUCGAGCGAACGGACGAGAAGCUUGCUUCUCUGAUGUUAGCGGCGGACGGGUGAGUAACACGUGGAUAACCUACCUAUAAGACUGGGAUAACUUCGGGAAACCGUAGCUAAUACCGGAUAAUAUUUUGAACCGCAUGGUUCAAAAGUGAAAGACGGUCUUGCUGUCACUUAUAGAUGGAUCCGCGCUGCAUUAGCUAGUUGGUAAGGUAACGGCUUACCAAGGCAACGAUGCAUAGCCGACCUGAGAGGGUGAUCGGCCACACUGGAACUGAGACACGGUCCAGACUCCUACGGGAGGCAGCAGUAGGGAAUCUUCCGCAAUGGGCGAAAGCCUGACGGAGCAACGCCGCGUGAGUGAUGAAGGUCUUCGGAUCGUAAAACUCUGUUAUUAGGGAAGAACAUAUGUGUAAGUAACUGUGCGCAUCUUGACGGUACCUAAUCAGAAAGCCACGGCUAACUACGUG